This 843-nucleotide ribosomal RNA is filed under the name Galerina aff. vittiformis 1 BRL-2018. RNAcentral describes it as "partial large subunit ribosomal RNA". It matches the Rfam family "Eukaryotic large subunit ribosomal RNA", at positions 81 to 909 of the family's 3401-position model. Lineage: Eukaryota; Fungi; Basidiomycota; Agaricomycetes; Agaricales; Galerinaceae. The record is from RNAcentral.
UAGUAACUGCGAGUGAAGCGGGAAAAGCUCAAAUUUAAAAUCUGGCGGUCUUUGGCUGUCCGAGUUGUAAUCUAGAGAAGUGUUAUCCGCGCUGGACCGUGUACAAGUCUCCUGGAAUGGAGCGUCAUAGAGGGUGAGAAUCCCGUCUUUGACACGGACUGCCAGGGCUUUGUGAUGCGCUCUCAAAGAGUCGAGUUGUUUGGGAAUGCAGCUCAAAAUGGGUGGUAAAUUCCAUCUAAAGCUAAAUAUUGGCGAGAGACCGAUAGCGAACAAGUACCGUGAGGGAAAGAUGAAAAGAACUUUGGAAAGAGAGUUAAACAGUACGUGAAAUUGCUGAAAGGGAAACGCUUGAAGUCAGUCGCGUUGGCCGGGGAUCAACCUUGCUUUUGCUUGGCGUACUUCCCGGUUGAUGGGUCAGCAUCAAUUUUGACCGUUGGAUAAAGGUUAGGGGAAUGUGGCAUCUUCGGAUGUGUUAUAGCCCUUGGUCGCAUACAACGGUUGGGAUUGAGGAACUCAGCACGCCGCAAGGCCGGGUAUUUAUACUACGUUCGUGCUUAGGAUGCUGGCAUAAUGGCUUUAAUCGACCCGUCUUGAAACACGGACCAAGGAGUCUAACAUGCCUGCGAGUGUUUGGGUGGAAAACCCGAGCGCGUAAUGAAAGUGAAAGUUGAGAUCCCUGUCGUGGGGAGCAUCGACGCCCGGACCAGACCUUUUGUGACGGAUCCGCGGUAGAGCAUGUAUGUUGGGACCCGAAAGAUGGUGAACUAUGCCUGAAUAGGGUGAAGCCAGAGGAAACUCUGGUGGAGGCUCGUAGCGAUUCUGACGUGCAAAUCGAUCGUCAAA